GACGAACGCUGGCGGCGUGCUUAACACAUGCAAGUCGAACGGAAAGGCCCUGCUUUUGUGGGGUGCUCGAGUGGCGAACGGGUGAGUAACACGUGAGUAACCUGCCCUUGACUUUGGGAUAACUUCAGGAAACUGGGGCUAAUACCGGAUAGGAGCUCCUGCUGCAUGGUGGGGGUUGGAAAGUUUCGGCGGUUGGGGAUGGACUCGCGGCUUAUCAGCUUGUUGGUGGGGUAGUGGCUUACAAAGGCUUUGACGGGUAGCCGGCCUGAGAGGGUGACCGGCCACAAUGGGACUGAGAUACGGCCCAGACUCCUACGGGAGGCAGCAGUGGGGAAUAUUGCACAAUGGGCGGAAGCCUGAUGCAGCAACGCCGCGUGCGGGAUGACGGCCUUCGGGUUGUAAACCGCUUUCGCCUGUGACGAAGCGUGAGUGACGGUAAUGGGUAAAGAAGCACCGGCUAACUACGUG
This 468-nucleotide ribosomal RNA is filed under the name uncultured bacterium. RNAcentral's name for it is "partial 16S ribosomal RNA". It matches the Rfam family "Bacterial small subunit ribosomal RNA", at positions 28 to 507 of the family's 1533-position model. The record is from RNAcentral.